UUAAGUUAUUAAGGGCGCACGGUGGAUGCCUUGGCACUAGAAGCCGAUGAAGGACGUUACUAACGACGAUAUGCUUUGGGGAGCUGUAAGUAAGCUUUGAUCCAGAGAUUUCCGAAUGGGGAAACCCAGCAUGAGUUAUGUCAUGUUAUCGAUAUGUGAAUACAUAGCAUAUCAGAAGGCACACCCGGAGAACUGAAACAUCUUAGUACCCGGAGGAAGAGAAAGAAAAUUCGAUUCCCUUAGUAGCGGCGAGCGAAAUGGGAAGAGCCCAAACCAACAAGCUUGCUUGUUGGGGUUGUAGGACACUCUAUACGGAGUUACAAAGGACGACAUUAGACGAAUCAUCUGGAAAGAUGAAUCAAAGAAGGUAAUAAUCCUGUAGUCGAAAAUGUUGUCUCUCUUGAGUGGAUCCUGAGUACGACGGANCACGUGAAAUUCCGUCGGAAUCUGGGAGGACCAUCUCCUAAGGCUAAAUACUCUCUAGUGACCGAUAGUGAACCAGUACCGUGAGGGAAAGGUGAAAAGCACCCCGGAAGGGGAGUGAAAUAGAACCUGAAACCGUGUGCUUACAAGUAGUCAGAGCCCGUUAAUGGGUGAUGGCGUGCCUUUUGUAGAAUGAACCGGCGAGUUACGAUUUGAUGCAAGGUUAAGCAGUAAAUGUGGAGCCGUAGCGAAAGCGAGUCUGAAUAGGGCGUUUAGUAUUUGGUCGUAGACCCGAAACCAGGUGAUCUACCCUUGGUCAGGUUGAAGUUCAGGUAACACUGAAUGGAGGACCGAACCGACUUACGUUGAAAAGUGAGCGGAUGAACUGAGGGUAGCGGAGAAAUUCCAAUCGAACCUGGAGAUAGCUGGUUCUCUCCGAAAUAGCUUUAGGGCUAGCCUCAAGUGAUGAUUAUUGGAGGUAGAGCACUGUUUGGACGAGGGGCCCCUCUCGGGUUACCGAAUUCAGACAAACUCCGAAUGCCAAUUAAUUUAACUUGGGAGUCAGAACAUGGGUGAUAAGGUCCGUGUUCGAAAGGGAAACAGCCCAGACCACCAGCUAAGGUCCCAAAAUAUAUGUUAAGUGGAAAAGGAUGUGGCGUUGCCCAGACAACUAGGAUGUUGGCUUAGAAGCAGCCAUCAUUUAAAGAGUGCGUAAUAGCUCACUAGUCGAGUGACACUGCGCCGAAAAUGUACCGGGGCUAAACAUAUUACCGAAGCUGUGGAUUGUCCUUUGGACAAUGGUAGGAGAGCGUUCUAAGGGCGUUGAAGCAUGAUCGUAAGGACAUGUGGAGCGCUUAGAAGUGAGAAUGCCGGUGUGAGUAGCGAAAGACGGGUGAGAAUCCCGUCCACCGAUUGACUAAGGUUUCCAGAGGAAGGCUCGUCCGCUCUGGGUUAGUCGGGUCCUAAGCUGAGGCCGACAGGCGUAGGCGAUGGAUAACAGGUUGAUAUUCCUGUACCACCUAUAAUCGUUUUAAUCGAUGGGGGGACGCAGUAGGAUAGGCGAAGCGUGCGAUUGGAUUGCACGUCUAAGCAGUAAGGCUGAGUAUUAGGCAAAUCCGGUACUCGUUAAGGCUGAGCUGUGAUGGGGAGAAGACAUUGNGUCUUCGAGUCGUUGAUUUCACACUGCCGAGAAAAGCCUCUAGAUAGAAAAUAGGUGCCCGUACCGCAAACCGACACAGGUAGUCAAGAUGAGAAUUCUAAGGUGAGCGAGCGAACUCUCGUUAAGGAACUCGGCAAAAUGACCCCGUAACUUCGGGAGAAGGGGUGCUCUUUAGGGUUAACGCCCAGAAGAGCCGCAGUGAAUAGGCCCAAGCGACUGUUUAUCAAAAACACAGGUCUCUGCUAAACCGUAAGGUGAUGUAUAGGGGCUGACGCCUGCCCGGUGCUGGAAGGUUAAGAGGAGUGGUUAGCUUCUGCGAAGCUACGAAUCGAAGCCCCAGUAAACGGCGGCCGUAACUAUAACGGUCCUAAGGUAGCGAAAUUCCUUGUCGGGUAAGUUCCGACCCGCACGAAAGGCGUAACGAUUUGGGCACUGUCUCAACGAGAGACUCGGUGAAAUCAUAGUACCUGUGAAGAUGCAGGUUACCCGCGACAGGACGGAAAGACCCCGUGGAGCUUUACUGUAGCCUGAUAUUGAAAUUCGGCACAGCUUGUACAGGAUAGGUAGGAGCCUUUGAAACGUGAGCGCUAGCUUACGUGGAGGCGCUGGUGGGAUACUACCCUAGCUGUGUUGGCUUUCUAACCCGCACCACUUAUCGUGGUGGGAGACAGUGUCAGGCGGGCAGUUUGACUGGGGCGGUCGCCUCCUAAAAGGUAACGGAGGCGCUCAAAGGUUCCCUCAGAAUGGUUGGAAAUCAUUCAUAGAGUGUAAAGGCAUAAGGGAGCUUGACUGCGAGACCUACAAGUCGAGCAGGGUCGAAAGACGGACUUAGUGAUCCGGUGGUUCCGCAUGGAAGGGCCAUCGCUCAACGGAUAAAAGCUACCCCGGGGAUAACAGGCUUAUCUCCCCCAAGAGUUCACAUCGACGGGGAGGUUUGGCACCUCGAUGUCGGCUCAUCGCAUCCUGGGGCUGUAGUCGGUCCCAAGGGUUGGGCUGUUCGCCCAUUAAAGCGGUACGCGAGCUGGGUUCAGAACGUCGUGAGACAGUUCGGUCCCUAUCCGUCGUGGGCGUAGGAAAUUUGAGAGGAGCUGUCCUUAGUACGAGAGGACCGGGAUGGACAUACCUCUGGUGUACCAGUUGUCGUGCCAACGGCAUAGCUGGGUAGCUAUGUGUGGACGGGAUAAGUGCUGAAAGCAUCUAAGCAUGAAGCCCCCCUCAAGAUGAGAUUUCCCAACUUCGGUUAUAAGAUCCCUCAAAGAUGAUGAGGUUAAUAGGUUCGAGGUGGAAGCAUGGUGACAUGUGGAGCUGACGAAUACUAAUCGAUCGAAGACUUAAUCAA
RNAcentral lists this ribosomal RNA (2921 nucleotides) under Staphylococcus aureus. RNAcentral describes it as "23S ribosomal RNA". It matches the Rfam family "Bacterial large subunit ribosomal RNA". The record is from RNAcentral. Lineage: Bacteria; Bacillati; Bacillota; Bacilli; Caryophanales; Staphylococcaceae.